Molecule: ribosomal RNA, 497 nt
Filed under: uncultured bacterium
Lineage: Bacteria
Description: partial 16S ribosomal RNA
Rfam family: Bacterial small subunit ribosomal RNA
Source: RNAcentral
GAUGAACGCUGGCGGCGUGCCUAAUACAUGCAAGUCGAGCGAACAGACGAGGAGCUUGCUCCUCUGACGUUAGCGGCGGACGGGUGAGUAACACGUGGAUAACCUACCUAUAAGACUGGGAUAACUUCGGGAAACCGGAGCUACUACCGGAUAAUAUAUUGAACCGCAUGGUUCAAUAGUGAAAGACGGUUUUGCUGUCACUUAUAGAUGGAUCCGCGCCGCAUUAGCUAGUUGGUAAGGUAACGGCUUACCAAGGCAACGAUGCGUAGCCGACCUGAGAGGGUGAUCGGCCACACUGGAACUGAGACACGGUCCAGACUCCUACGGGAGGCAGCAGUAGGGAAUCUUCCGCAAUGGGCGAAAGCCUGACGGAGCAAAGCCGCGUGAGUGAUGAAGGUCUUCGGAUCGUAAAACUCUGUUAUUAGGGAAGAACAAAUGUGUGAGUAACUAUGCACGUCUUGACGGUACCUAAUCAGAAAGCCACGGCUAACUACGUG